UACGUAGGUGGCGAGCGUUGUCCGGAUUUAUUGGGUUUAAAGGGUGCGUAGGCGGUCCUAUAAGUCAGUGCUGAAAUAUCCCGGCUUAACCGGGAGGGUGGCAUUGAUACUGCAGGACUUGAGUAAAGUUGAGGUAGGCGGAAUUGACGGUGUAGCGGUGAAAUGCUUAGAUAUCGUCAAGAACACCGAUAGUGCAGACAGCUUACUAAGCUUUAACUGACGCUGAGGCACGAAAGUGUGGGGAUCAAACAGG
This 253-nucleotide ribosomal RNA is filed under the name uncultured prokaryote. RNAcentral's name for it is "partial 16S ribosomal RNA". It matches the Rfam family "Bacterial small subunit ribosomal RNA", at positions 524 to 776 of the family's 1533-position model. The record is from RNAcentral.